UACGUAGGGCGCAAGCGUUAUCCGGAAUUAUUGGGCGUAAAACGUGCGCAGGCGGUUUUGUAAGCCAGAUGUGAAAUCCCCGGGCUUAACCUGGGAAUGGCAUUUGGGACUGCAAGGCUCGAGUGCGGCAGAGGAGACUGGAAUUCCUGGUGUAGCAGUGAAAUGCGUAGAUAUCAGGAGGAACACCGAUGGCGAAGGCAGGUCUCUGGGCUGACACUGACGCUCAUGCACGAAAGCGUGGGGAGCAAACAGG
Molecule: ribosomal RNA, 253 nt
Filed under: uncultured bacterium
Lineage: Bacteria
Description: partial 16S ribosomal RNA
Rfam family: Bacterial small subunit ribosomal RNA
Source: RNAcentral